CGAAAGCCUGACGGAGCAAUACCGCGUGAGGGAGGAAGGCUUUUGGGUUGUAAACCUCUUUUCUCAAGGAAGAAGUCAGUGACGGUACUUGAGGAAUCAGCAUCGGCUAACUCCGUGCCAGCAGCCGCGGUAAUACGGAGGAUGCAAGCGUUAUCCGGAAUCAUUGGGCGUAAAGCGUCCGCAGGUGGCGUAUCAAGUCUGCUGUCAAAGACUAGAGCUCAACUCUGGAAAGGCGGUGGAAACUGGUAGGCUAGAGUACGGUAGGGGUAGAGGGAAUUCCCAGUGUAGCGGUGAAAUGCGUAGAUAUUGGGAAGAACACCAGUGGCGAAGGCGCUCUACUGGGCCGUAACUGACACUCAGGGACGAAAGCUAGGGUAGCG
Molecule: ribosomal RNA, 380 nt
Filed under: uncultured cyanobacterium
Lineage: Bacteria; Bacillati; Cyanobacteriota
Description: bacterial SSU rRNA
Rfam family: Bacterial small subunit ribosomal RNA
Source: RNAcentral